AUUCAGCUGUAGAGUCCCAAAUAGGAUGAAACGCGCGUCAAACUGGAU
This is a non-coding RNA of Schistosoma curassoni, 48 nucleotides long. The record is from Rfam. NCBI's taxonomy places the organism in Eukaryota, Metazoa, Platyhelminthes, Trematoda, Strigeidida, Schistosomatidae.